This 630-nucleotide long non-coding RNA is filed under the name Sarcophilus harrisii (Tasmanian devil). RNAcentral's name for it is "lncRNA (ENSSHAG00000021497.1)". The record is from RNAcentral. Lineage: Eukaryota; Metazoa; Chordata; Mammalia; Dasyuromorphia; Dasyuridae.
CCUUGAUCUAGAUAAUCCUGGUUAUAUUUUCGACUCCCCAGCCAAGAGCUACCCUAAGUUGGGUCAGAGCCUAGAGGAGUUUGGGAUAGGAGUGUUCAAGGAGAAGAAUAGGAACAGAUCCAAACAGGAGCAGCACCGAUGACAAACUCAGCUGUAGAGUUUCUGGAAUGGAGCAAUUGCUCCUAUUUUUUUAUGCACUUUGGGCUGUAGGAAAUAAUGUGAACAUUUUCCCAUUUGACUAUCACAGCAAUCCUUCAGGCACCCCAGGCUGAGCUAUCAGCAUCAACAUAUGGCCCUUGGGAUCCUCAGAAGGCUUGGCUCCAUCUUCCACAGUUGGGGCAGGGAAGGUGGGCAUCUUGGUGCCUGGCUUGGCAGUCACAUAAGGACCAUCUGGUGCCUGCUGGAAGAAAGUCAAGAUUGGAGUUCCUCACUCUCCACUUUGCCCACUCAUCCUGGGCUUCCUUACCCAGGCCUCUGCAGUUGUGCAGCAGAAGGAGCUCUGGGCUGGGAGGAAGGAUGUGCUGAUAAUUAUUUAACAUCUAACUCUCUGAGGAAAAAAAACGUAUACAUGAUACACUUUUGUUUUAACCUGUAUUAUCAACAUUUUUUCCUUCGCUUUCUUAAGUCUAG